Molecule: long non-coding RNA, 1344 nt
Organism: Felis catus (domestic cat)
Lineage: Eukaryota; Metazoa; Chordata; Mammalia; Carnivora; Felidae
Exons: 4
Source: RefSeq, a predicted model, not a curated record
UGCUGCAGCCUGUGGGCCGUCUGUCCUCCCGAUAGACAGAGAGGCGGGUUCGCCUGGGCCCGAGUUGCGGGUCGUCCGAGCCGCUGCUUUGAGCCCACGAGGCAGUUUCUCCCAGCGGGAGCCUGCGUCUUGCCUGCCCCUGGCCCAGUUCCCAAACUCCAGUGGUUUCUCCCGGCUCUGCCUUCCCACUCUUUCAACCCCCGUUGCUUCUGCUUCCUUGCAUUCGACUGUGUCGCCGCCAUAAAAUAGACCAGGGCGGCCGGAUCCCCGCGGCUCAGAACAUGAGAUUUCCUCCCCGGCGGUGGGAGGCCUGACGUCUGAUUAGGAACGGAGCACAGGGCGUCAGCGCACCUGCAGCCUCGAGACUGGGGACAGGAUGACCCCCCCAGACCCCAAGGUGCCUUCGCUCACAGCUGGACCUCCCCCACUGUUCCCGGAAGCUCGCCCAGAACAUCUUUGGGCCACGGGAACCUGACUGGCCAGCGAAGCCUCCCCAAGGUUCCAAGCUUGAACUCGCGACACGGCCCUCCAGACUGUCGCGGCCGGCCCGGCUGCCCAGCGCAGGAUGUGGAGCUGCUUCCCCGGGAAGAGCUAGAGGACGUGCGGGGACAGCCGACGACCGAUGACCCCCGCUCAGGCCCGGCCCUGCCUUUCUCUGCGUCACCUUGAGUCACUGACUCAUUCUCUGAGCCCGAGAUGUCCUCCUCUGCAAAGUAGGGGUGCAAGUGGCCUGGAGGGGGAGGGCCUGGCAGACUCAGGCCGCGUGAGGCUCCGUUCAUGGUUGGGGGCGGCAGGCGGGUGCAGGUGGCCCACGGCUGGUCUGGGAGAAGCCCCCAAGGCCUGAGAAGAAUCCCCAGCGCUCCUUGUGGUGAAGGUCUGGGUGGACUUGGCUUCUUCCUUAGUCGCUCUGAUAAAGGCCGGUCAGAGGGGACCAGGGGUCUGGCCCCGGCACCCAGAAGUCUGACCGUCCCCACACCAAUGAUGUCCCACCAGUGGCCAGAAAGGCUGAUUUGGGGGUCCCUGGAUGGCCCUCCAGACGCGGUGCUCCUCCCCGCCAGACCCCUGCAGGGAUGGGGCAAAGUGAGUCCUGCUGGUGGCCCUGGACCGACCUGGGUGGGGAUUUGGGGCUGCCCUCUGGGGCUCCCCACCCACCCCCUCUGCCCCAGAGUGUCUCCAGUCUUCUCACCUUCCUUCUUCAUCCUUCAAAACCCUGCACCUCAAAAACCUGCGGCCUGAUCGAACCAAACUGGAAGACACAGGCUCCAGGCUCAGCGCUGACCUUGGGCAGGACAGUGGACCCACCGCGUGUACAGAGUCUUUCUGAGCAACGGGCCAGGCGGGGGC